CAGAUUCCUCAUCAGAUUAAGAAGAGAAAAAAUGAAGAUGAGGAAGAGGGGCACUGUAACGUCUCAAUAACAAAGGAAGAGUUUAAAAAGUCAAACCAGCUCCAACAUCAGGGCAACUGUGAACCACCUACUUAUCUGCAUCAUCGAAGCUUUUCUUGUUCCUGUCAUGAAGACGAUGUGGAGCUUUAACUAUUUGAAUCUAAGAUAAACAGCAGAGGCACUUUAUUAAAUAGACGUAUUUAUUUACAACACGACAGGGACCAGUUAACUUGAGCAUGCUU
This is a long non-coding RNA of Carassius carassius (crucian carp), 281 nucleotides long. RefSeq lists it as uncharacterized. NCBI's taxonomy places the organism in Eukaryota, Metazoa, Chordata, Actinopteri, Cypriniformes, Cyprinidae. The transcript has 3 exons. The record is from RefSeq and is a predicted model, not a curated record.